RNAcentral lists this non-coding RNA (27 nucleotides) under Rattus norvegicus (Norway rat). The record is from RNAcentral. Lineage: Eukaryota; Metazoa; Chordata; Mammalia; Rodentia; Muridae.
ACUUAUACUGGAUAACCCAGCAGGAGA